This 384-nucleotide ribosomal RNA is filed under the name uncultured bacterium. RNAcentral describes it as "bacterial SSU rRNA". It matches the Rfam family "Bacterial small subunit ribosomal RNA", at positions 28 to 413 of the family's 1533-position model. The record is from RNAcentral.
GACGAACGCUGGCGGCGUGCUUAACACAUGCAAGUCGAGCGAGGCCCUUCCUUCGGGAAGGUGCCCUAGCGGCGAACGGGUGAGUAACACGUGGGCAACCUGCCCCUAGCACUGGGAUAACUCCGGGAAACCGGGGCUAAUACCGGAUACGACCUCAGAAGGCAUCUUCCGAGGUGGAAAAAUUUAUUGGCUAGGGAUGGGCCCGCGGCCUAUCAGCUUGUUGGUGAGGUAACGGCCCACCAAGGCUCGACGGGUAGCCGGCCUGAGAGGGCGACCGGCCACACUGGGACUGAGACACGGCCCAGACUCCUACGGGAGGCAGCAGUGGGGAAUAUUGCACAAUGGGCGAAAGCCUGAUGCAGCGACGCCGCGUGAGGGAUGACU